Non-coding RNA from Acanthosepion pharaonis, 93 nucleotides. Lineage: Eukaryota; Metazoa; Mollusca; Cephalopoda; Sepiida; Sepiidae. The record is from the annotation of a GenBank genome assembly.
AACAACGAUCCUCGUACGAUCACGGAAGUUAAGCAACAUCGAACUUGAUUCGUACCUAAAUGGGUGACCUCUUGAGAAUAUCUGGUGCUGUAA